AUUGAACGCUGGCGGCAUGCUUUACACAUGCAAGUCGAGCGGCAGCGCGGGGGCAACCCUGGCGGCGAGCGGCGAACGGGUGAGUAAUGCAUCGGAACGUACCCUGGAGUGGGGGGAUAACGCCGCGAAAGCGGCGCUAAUACCGCAUAUGCUCUGAGGAGGAAAGUGGGGGACCGCAAGGCCUCACGCUCUGGGAGCGGCCGAUGUCCGAUUAGCUAGUUGGUGAGGUAAAGGCUUACCAAGGCGACGAUCGGUAGCUGGUCUGAGAGGAUGAUCAGCCACACUGGGACUGAGACACGGCCCAGACUCCUACGGGAGGCAGCAGUCGAGAAUUUUUCACAAUGGGGGAAACCCUGAUGGAGCGACGCCGCGUGGGGGAUGAAGGGCUUCGGCUCGUAAACCCCUGUCAUUCGCGAAUAAUUGUUGUAACCUAACACGUUGCGACUUGAUAGUAGCGGAAGAGGAAGGGACGGCUAACUCUGUGCCAGCAGCCGCGGUAAU
RNAcentral lists this ribosomal RNA (501 nucleotides) under uncultured bacterium. RNAcentral's name for it is "bacterial SSU rRNA". It matches the Rfam family "Bacterial small subunit ribosomal RNA", at positions 29 to 524 of the family's 1533-position model. The record is from RNAcentral.